Long non-coding RNA from Erigeron canadensis, 547 nucleotides. RefSeq lists it as uncharacterized. NCBI's taxonomy places the organism in Eukaryota, Viridiplantae, Streptophyta, Magnoliopsida, Asterales, Asteraceae. The transcript is spliced from 3 exons. The record is from RefSeq and is a predicted model, not a curated record.
UCUUAAGCUUUACCCGCCCAACACCCAUGCCCAUUUCAUUGCCUAUCAAAUGGCGGGUCUCCACCAUUUACCCGGAUAACAAAUUCUUCUCCCAAUUCUUUUUAGGAUCUGUUUGUAUUUACUGUUUGCAACUUUGCAUCUCCACAUCCAGUUUCUUGCUAGGGCUCUAGAAGACAUGAUUGAAGAAGUCAUUGAGCAAAGGAAUCCCGCAAGAAGAAAUGCAGCUGAUAUGUAGGAUAUCAUACAAAAAUCAUCCACUUUUGAAUGAUAAUCGUUUGCAUCAUACAACCCGCCGUCAAAAUGAGUUAUCAAAGAAGCACCUUUUCUUGUUUCAACCGUGGCACCAAAUACAGACCCGACUGCAGUAGCUAGUAUUGUCAAGCAUAUCUGAAAAAUAGGUACCAAAAAGUGAUCCUGCAUGAACUGAUUAUAACACUGGGAGUGUGUAAGUUCAAGUUCUAUUUCAUUACCAGAUGCUUAAUUUGACUAAUAUUGAUUAUGUUACACAAUAUCCGAAUUCAUUAUCUCAAACGUUAGUUGUGUGAUU